RNAcentral lists this ribosomal RNA (261 nucleotides) under Boophis reticulatus. RNAcentral's name for it is "partial 16S ribosomal RNA". Lineage: Eukaryota; Metazoa; Chordata; Amphibia; Anura; Mantellidae. The record is from RNAcentral.
AAGAAGCGGGGAUAAGUAUAUUAGACGAGAAGACCCCAUGGAGCUUUAAACCCGACAGCACCCACUUAUUUAACACCUUCUUAUCCGCCUGGCCCCUGUCUGCUCGGUUUUGGGUUGGGGUGACCGCGGAGCAUAAAAUAGCCUCCACGAAAGAAGGGAUGAUUCCCUCAUUUUAGAACUACACUUCCAAAGACUAACAAAUUAAUUUUAAGUGAUCCGAUACCCGUAUUCGAUCAACGAACCAAGUUACCCUGGGGAUAA